UUUGACCACGUUGUGCAAAAGGCUUUAAAAGAAAUCACCAAGAAAGAGACCAAAUUUUCACCUGUGCUCGAUGCUGACAUGAAACAUCUCAUCAUGAAACUGUUGUUCAAGGAUCCUGAGAUGCAGCUAGGUGGAUGAGGUGAUCUGGACUGUGAACUCAAAUCAGCACAGGCCAGGUACUACUACCACUCCAUGCUCAUGGUGGGAGCUUUAGUAUCUGCACUAAGAGACAAAUUGUGAUGCGAUUGUCCUUUAUAAUCUGUAGAAGCGGGCGGCACGCCAAACCUCUCCACUCCAACGCCAAAAAUUUCAGGAGAAAAACUGCUCCUGAGCUCAAAAAAGC
Long non-coding RNA from Hyla sarda, 343 nucleotides. RefSeq lists it as uncharacterized. The transcript has 3 exons. NCBI's taxonomy places the organism in Eukaryota, Metazoa, Chordata, Amphibia, Anura, Hylidae. The record is from RefSeq and is a predicted model, not a curated record.